UCCGGAGAGUGCGAACGUUGUUCGGAUUCACUGGGCGUAAAGGGCACGUAGGCGGCUUGGCAAAUCGGUCGUGGAAUCCCGACGCUUACCGUCGGAACGGCGGCCGAAAAUACCGAGCUCGAGGGCGUGAGGGGUCACUGGAACUCCUGGUGAAGCGGUGAAAUGCGUAGAUAUCAGGAGGAACGCCGGAGGCGAAAGCGAGUGACUGGCGCGUUCCUGACGCUGAGGUGCGAAAGCUAGGGGAGCAAACAGG
RNAcentral lists this ribosomal RNA (253 nucleotides) under uncultured bacterium. RNAcentral's name for it is "partial 16S ribosomal RNA". It matches the Rfam family "Bacterial small subunit ribosomal RNA", at positions 524 to 776 of the family's 1533-position model. The record is from RNAcentral.